CAAGAAAGGAUCCUCAACGGCGAGUGCAAGUGUGAUGACCGUUGGUCUGGCUGCAUCAUGGAUGAUGUUGGCUUCUACCUGCCCAAGAGGUUCUCUAACUGCAACGUGGAGGAGUACCAUACCUUCCUCAACAGUGGUGGUGGAGCCUGUCUCUUCAACAAACCCAUAAAGCUGGUUGACCCUCCAGAGUGUGGGAAUGGUUUGGUGGAGCCAGGGGAGGAGUGUGACUGUGGCAGCCCAGCGGUGAGUAGCUGAGAG
Salvelinus sp. IW2-2015 is the source of this 258-nucleotide long non-coding RNA. RefSeq lists it as uncharacterized. Lineage: Eukaryota; Metazoa; Chordata; Actinopteri; Salmoniformes; Salmonidae. The record is from RefSeq and is a predicted model, not a curated record.